RNAcentral lists this transfer RNA (69 nucleotides) under Marmota monax (woodchuck). Its description in RNAcentral is "tRNA.Thr". Lineage: Eukaryota; Metazoa; Chordata; Mammalia; Rodentia; Sciuridae. The record is from RNAcentral.
GUGGGUAGUUCAGUGGUAGAGUACCUGCCUAGUGUACAUGAUGCCCUGGGUUCAGUCCCCAGAAUCACA